RNAcentral lists this transfer-messenger RNA (313 nucleotides) under Alphaproteobacteria bacterium. It matches the Rfam family "Alphaproteobacteria transfer-messenger RNA". Rfam says of the family: Bacterial tmRNA, also known as 10Sa RNA or SsrA, is named for its dual tRNA and mRNA-like properties. Its role is to liberate the mRNA from a stalled ribosome. Lineage: Bacteria; Pseudomonadati; Pseudomonadota; Alphaproteobacteria. The record is from RNAcentral.
CCCUUUGCAUUGCGCGUUCGCGCGGCCUAUAUUUGCUGUGCCGGGCAACCGGCUAUGGCGAUAAACGUUAUAUGGAAUAAGCGUAUCGGACCCGGGGGCGGUACCCGGCGCCUCCACCAAAUCCCUUUCGGGAUGGCCAAGGGGGCGAAACAGGAUCGACGAGCGUGGUAAAGAUAUGAUUUUCGCCCGGCAUGGUACCACCGUUAUCGGGCUACUUUUACAAAUGCCAACGACAACGAGGCAUUUGCGGUUGCCGCCUAAGGGCGAUAACUAGCGGGGUUCGGUGGGCACCUUGCAACAGAAGCCCACCACU